This 76-nucleotide transfer RNA is filed under the name Heyndrickxia sporothermodurans. RNAcentral describes it as "Bacillus sporothermodurans tRNA-Lys". It matches the Rfam family "tRNA". Rfam says of the family: Transfer RNA (tRNA) molecules are approximately 80 nucleotides in length. The record is from RNAcentral. Lineage: Bacteria; Bacillati; Bacillota; Bacilli; Caryophanales; Bacillaceae. RNAcentral also lists the same sequence under 11 other names.
GAGCCAUUAGCUCAGUCGGUAGAGCAUCUGACUUUUAAUCAGAGGGUCGAAGGUUCGAGUCCUUCAUGGCUCAUCA